Hippoglossus stenolepis (Pacific halibut) is the source of this 2999-nucleotide long non-coding RNA. RefSeq lists it as uncharacterized. The record is from RefSeq and is a predicted model, not a curated record. The transcript has 4 exons. NCBI's taxonomy places the organism in Eukaryota, Metazoa, Chordata, Actinopteri, Pleuronectiformes, Pleuronectidae.
AACCCUUGGUGUGCCCACACUCUCCUCUUACACUCAUUCCUUCUGCUGUGUCGAGAAUAAAAGUGCCGACAUUGUCCCCAACCGAUUCGCCAAAGAGAGACUUGCUUCUGCAGGGUUAGGGGAAAAAGUCUGACAUUUCAAGGUAGUCAAACAAAUCUGAAUGAAUUUAGAAAAUUUAUUUUAGAGGCCUAUCCCAAACUCAGACAAGGGGGUGGAUUUGAGUUGCUCCGAAUUGCUGGAACUACAAGAAGUCGCCAACUGAUCCUCAUCCCGUGUCCCAAUGAGGGCUACCAUGUGAGACAUUUGAAAGAUCCACAAAACCAGAUUGGUCAUGCUAUUAUUUUCAUUCGACCACUCCAAAGGAACCUGGAUCUCGAGCAUGUAUGUCAACCAGAAUGCAACAAUGGGCUGGUUGGACCACCUGAGAAAUGUAUCACUUGUGGAGAGGAGUUUCCUUUUUCACAAAUCAAAGCUCAUAGUGAUGAAUGCAUGAGGUACUGCCCUACAGAACUAAAACAUAUCAUUUGUCAAGCACACUGCAUGUGUAGUCAUAUAUUUGACAUGACCCAUUUGGCUGUGUGAGUCAUCCAACAAGUGUAAAGCAUCCUGACUGUUGUGUGUGUAUGUAGGAUAAACAAUUAUAGCUAUAAAUGUAUAAGAACACAAUAGAUGAGCUCUUUCUAUACCAACCAUCCUGUUUGUGUCUAUCCAUAUUUUUCUGUCUUCAAUAAGACAAACAAAUGUGGUGGACACUGUUUGGGUUGUACUGGUUCCAGGCUGAAACCAGAUCACCCCAAGAAUGUGAAUGUAGCUUUUUUUUAACCUGUAAGUUUCUGCAGGAUAAAGUCAACCAGGUUAUCCAGUGGCUGAUUGACAAUCCCUUUGCUAUUGCUGUAUGACAGUUGAAAAUCUAUGUGAUUUGACUUUUCUAUUUUAAUUUAAGUGCCAGGAGGAACCCUUCUUUUUGAGGGUGAAAAUGAUCAUCUGAUACCCUCCACUUCCCAUAUCCUUUUGGAGAGUGACUUAUUUGUUGUUGCUGGACGAUUCAUUUCUGCAUGAUGGGUCAUGCCUGGGUGGACUGAGCCCAGCAAUCCUGCAUAUGCUCUUUGGUGGAUCCCCAGAAGAAGCCACUAUAGAUAUUAAGGACUGUGCUGACCUUGUGCUGACAAAAUAUGUAUAUUUUGUCAAGAUUUUAAAAUAACUAGGGCUAGGACAAUGAAAAUAAUAUUUUAAGUCAGGAAGAAAUGAUUAACAAAUGCUUAAAUAUAAAUUAAUUAAAUAAGAAAAAAAACUUAAUUCAGUAUUCUUCCACAAUCACAUCAUACAGUUAAUAUUUUCACCAGCAGGGGGUGCUAAACCAACAGUUUUACCAUGUUAUAAACUACUACCAUGCUGACCACAUGAAUUUUUAAUAAAAUUGAAAUGUUUGAUGUGGUUUGAUUUGACAACUUUGAUGAUUUAUGUACGGAAUAUUAAUCUUGGCACAGCAGAGUUAUCAUCUGAAGAAAAGAGCAUUAUCAAUGAGUUGGCACUGUCCUGGUAUUUGCCUCCAGUCACGUGAAAACAGGAGAUGGCUGCUUGACAAAAUGCUACUCCAUGCUGGGAGUAUUCUGUACUUAAGACUUCAUAUAAAUCACACUAACUAAUCAAGAGUUUUGAUGAAAGACUGAAAUUUGGCCUUCUUUUUGUCAGAUACCUCCCAGAUGUUUGUUGAUGAGAAAUUAAUGAUAGCUUAUAUGGCAAUCGGUUGAAGAUCAGUAAGGCUUCAUGACUUUUCUGUUGUGAUACAAAUAUUUUGCAGGUCCUAGGAAGAACCUUGAAACAAGUCAAACAGUUACGAAAGGGUUUAACUCAGUCAGCCUUUGCUAACUGAAAGGAAAGACAAUUCCUCUUCUCUUUCCAAGAGCGUCAGAUUCAGAGUACACACCACGGGUAAGUGAACUCAGGCUGCUACUAAUCGUACAGUAUCUGUCAAAAACACUACAAACUCAGGAGUUACUAUCUUAAACGUGUUUUGUAUUCUACCUUCUGGCAACCUCUGGUUUCAGUUUAUUACACCAAAAAUAACCUGGAGAGAUCUGAAAUAUUUUGCAGAUGAAUAAUCAGUCCGUGUUGUUCCCUCUUACAAAUGUUCUUUAUCAUUGGAUAAGCAAGCUCUGCACAAAGAGAGUUGUUCUGAAGUCUCUGCGAGUUAAUUUUCAUAGAAACAACGGCUGCCUGAAAGGAAGGAAAUCAAUCCAAAAAAUGAUGAUUUUGAAAACUCUCAACAGGAACGCAAAGUACUCAUCAUGGUCAUCUUACACAUGCAAAACCACCAGUAUGGCCCUUCCAAAACUGCUUACCACCACAUACUGAUCAAAUAACAAUUGUAAUUAUUAGAAUUAAUAACUUAUAUUUCCUGUACUGUACUCUAUUGUGCUAUAUAUACACUCUGGACUGCUUGAAAAAACAAGUGUUAACUGUUUGAAAAAUAAUGUAUCUGUCCGAUGGUCUUGGACAACAUAAAGUGGCCAACACAGGAUGAGGACUGAUGUCUCUUUGGAGGACACCUGUAGGAUCACAGGAUUCCUUCGCACAUUUAUUGAGAACGCAUCUCCAAACUUCCUUGGGAAACUCCUGCAGUUCUGGGUUGGAUGGAGUGUGCUUCCCAGACACUUGGACGUUGAGGUGGUGGAGAGCAACUUCCCCAAGUCUUCCACCUGCUGAAAAUUCCAGGACAUUACAAAGAGUAUGGUAACUUUGAAAGAGACAUUCUCGCUGCUAUUUGUAGCACUGACAAUGGGUUUGGAAUGGUCUAAUGAGACAGUAUAGUUUCGCCACUGUAUUGGUGCUGGUGCAAUAAAGCCGGCAUGUUUGUGAUAUAGUACAGCAUAUGUAAUUUACUUCAUUAUGCCUCUGUCAGUUAAUCACACUGUUCACUAAGUGAAAUUGUUUAAAAGCCAGUGGUCGCUGUUCUUCAAUUAAAUAUAUUGUUCUGAAAAAAGAUGUAGCAGCUCCUU